CGCGGGGUGGAGCAGCUUGGUAGCUCGUCGGGCUCAUAACCCGAAGGUCGUUGGUUCAAAUCCGGCCCCCGCAA
This is a non-coding RNA of Mannheimia haemolytica M42548, 74 nucleotides long. NCBI's taxonomy places the organism in Bacteria, Pseudomonadati, Pseudomonadota, Gammaproteobacteria, Pasteurellales, Pasteurellaceae. The record is from Rfam.